RNAcentral lists this unclassified non-coding RNA (240 nucleotides) under soil metagenome. RNAcentral describes it as "partial contains 5.8S ribosomal RNA, internal transcribed spacer 2, and large subunit ribosomal RNA". The record is from RNAcentral.
AACCAUAGAAACCUGCGGAGUACCUGCGGAGGGAUCAUUAACAAAUCUAAAAAAAGGUGGGGAAAAGGGAGAGAGAAGGGGAGAAAAAGUGAAAAGUAAGAAAUAAAUGAGAAGGUUUUUUGAAUAGAAGGGCCUUUUAUAAAGAGGCUCUCCUAAGAGAAAUGCCUUUCUCUUUAUGGUAAGACUUUCCUUUAUCUUUACCCUCAUCUCUCCACUCACCACAUUGACUCGGACUUGACU